ACAAGACGUGCAUUAAAGGAAAGUUCAAAGGAGCUCUUCUGCCUGAAACAAAAAGACAGAAGUGCACAAAACUCUAAGCAAAGUGACAAAGAUAAGCAGAGAAUUGCAACUCUAUUUCAGAAUAGGAGGUUGAACACUUAGUUAUAACAUAAAGGUUAAGAGAGGAAGAAAAGCAUCACUAAUAACUACAGUUACUUCAAUUUGGUAACAAACACAAUAUAAAAAGGGGUAAUUUGUGACAAUAAAAACAAAGGGAAGAAGGGAAAGAUGGAACUUGUAUAGGAGGAAAUGAAGAUGCUAUCAGAAGAAAACAGACUAACAGACAUUUUCUACAAACCUCAUGGUAACCACACAACAAAAUU
Molecule: long non-coding RNA, 362 nt
Organism: Phyllostomus discolor (pale spear-nosed bat)
Lineage: Eukaryota; Metazoa; Chordata; Mammalia; Chiroptera; Phyllostomidae
Exons: 3
Source: RefSeq, a predicted model, not a curated record